This is a long non-coding RNA of Daphnia carinata, 1600 nucleotides long. RefSeq lists it as uncharacterized. The transcript is spliced from 3 exons. The record is from RefSeq and is a predicted model, not a curated record. NCBI's taxonomy places the organism in Eukaryota, Metazoa, Arthropoda, Branchiopoda, Diplostraca, Daphniidae.
UUGUCCGGAAAUCAGCAGUUCGACAGUUGUAGAAGAUUUCUAUGGAUGCUAGAGGUAUGUUGAGGACUGUGAAAAAAGAAAAUGUCUGUGCACAAGUGUAGAACUAAUGCUUUGAAAUGUCUGGAGGAAAAGUUGCCGAAACCAUUUUCUCGUCCCGCCAUUUUGAGGAAAGAUGGUCGAACUCUUACCAUCAACCAACAGAAUUUUUGAAAGAACAACAGGCUGGGUAGUGAAAAGUGAUGAAGUGGAAAGUGGAUCUGAAAGUUACACAUAAGCCACAAGGAAAUUCAAAAUACUAACCUAAUGCAUGUUGCAGACUUAACAGCCAUGAAGAUGACAACUCAGAUUAACCUGUUGAACUGAAGGUGGUUGGAAAAAUUUAAACAAAAGCACAGAAAAAUAAAGUGAGAAAGAUAGUACAGUAGCUUGUGGAAUUAAUCCAGCCUGUUACACUAGAAUUUCCAUUCCACACUAUCCUCUACUAAACUUUUCAAUAAUUUCUAAGUAGGUAAAAGGUUUCCUGAUGUACUGGCAAAAAUCAGUAUCAAAUUAUGGUAAUUAAAUACUCACAGGUAAGUCUUUUACUUCCAAAUCAGAUUUUCUUCAUCAAUUCAUGUUGCAGACUUAGCAGCCAUGAAGAUGACAGUGCAAGUAAACCUGUUGGACUCGACGUCGUGAAAUUCAUCUUUGUCGGACUCCCGUCAGCAGUUGAGUACUGAGCUGCUCCUUCUUAAGAUGUUUUUUGCAUAAAUUUCGACUAUAAUAAUAUAAUAAAUUAACUACUGUGGAGAUGGGAGAAUUCCGGUUUGCUGUAUCGAAGUUAUGAGGGAAGACUAAGGUAAUUAUUUGUUUGUGAAAUAAUUGCAUGUUUUCAUGCGUUUUGUUGUUGACGACUUGUUCGAUUCCAAGCAGAUGGUUAUUCCACGAUGUUAAAAACAAUUAUUUUUUUCUCUGCUGGAGGUAAUAUUGCAAUGGUUGAUAAUAAUUUUUAUAUAGUCGGACAAAUUGUUAGGCGAUUGGAAUUUCGUGGAAUAAUCAUCGCCAAAUAGACUAGUGGCGGUAUCAACGCAUAAGAUGCACUAUUCUUGUUAAGUGUUACACUUCGAAGCCAUCGUCCAUGACAUUGACUAGCUGUAUGUAUCAGUUGAGCUGGCCAAUGCGGAAGAUGGAAUAUGAUGUUAAUACGAUGUUUGAAAUAUUGUUAAAAAAUUUGUGAUUUUACAGCCUUUUCCAGUGAUGUGAAUUGUUAUGAUACGUUGGAUUGGGCCUUGCGUCGGAUGGAAAUUAUUCUUUUGAUUAGAUUAUUUUCUUUUGCAUAGGGGCAAUUAACAUCUGUAAAAUGUUUGUUAGUUUCAUGGUGGUUUUCCAAUCGCCAGCCCGUGGCUGGCCGUUGGUUAGCAGCUUUAGUUCUUAUUACUAAUCCAUAAUUAUCUUUCACGUAAACUAUAUUGAUAAUAACUAGGUGAGAAAAAAUACGUCGUGUGGAGUGAAUAUUACUAUAUUGCCAGAUGUUUUGUAAGUGGAGAUGGUUUACUAAAUUAAUCGCAAAAAAUCUUGCUAUAUAGUUCUUCUAAGUCAGCAACGUUCUGUCAUUGCUUUA